UACGUAGGGUGCGAGCGUUAAUCGGAAUUACUGGGCGUAAAGCGUGCGCAGGCGGUUCGUUGUGUCUGAUGUGAAAGCCCCGGGCUCAACUUGGGAACGGCAUUGGAAACUGGCGAGCUAGAGUGUGGCAGAGGGGGGUGGAAUUCCGCGUGUAGCAGUGAAAUGCGUAGAGAUGCGGAGGAACACCGAUGGCGAAGGCAGCCCCCUGGGCCUGCACUGACGCUCAUGCACGAAAGCGUGGGGAGCAAACAGG
This 253-nucleotide ribosomal RNA is filed under the name uncultured bacterium. RNAcentral's name for it is "partial 16S ribosomal RNA". It matches the Rfam family "Bacterial small subunit ribosomal RNA", at positions 524 to 776 of the family's 1533-position model. The record is from RNAcentral.